RNAcentral lists this small RNA (125 nucleotides) under Marmota monax (woodchuck). Lineage: Eukaryota; Metazoa; Chordata; Mammalia; Rodentia; Sciuridae. The record is from RNAcentral.
GCCGGGCGUGGUGGCGCAUGCCUGUAAUCCCAGUGGCUCAGGAGGCUGAAACAGGAGAAUUCUAAAUUCAAAGCCAACCUCAGCAAAAGUGAGGCACUGAGUAACUCAGUGAGACCCUGUCUCUA